GACGAACGCUGGCGGCGUGCCUAAUACAUGCAAGUAGAACGCUGAAGAGAGGAGCUUGCUCUUCUUGGAUGAGUUGCGAAUGGGUGAGUAACGCGUAGGUAACCUGCCUUGUAGCGGGGGAUAACUAUUGGAAACGAUAGCUAAUACCGCAUAACAAUGGAUGACACAUGUCAUUUACUUGAAAGGGGCAAUUGCUCCACUACAAGAUGGACCUGCGUUGUAUUAGCUAGUAGGUGAGGUAAUGGCUCACCUAGGCGACGAUACAUAGCCGACCUGAGAGGGUGAUCGGCCACACUGGGACUGAGACACGGCCCAGACUCCUACGGGAGGCAGCAGUAGGGAAUCUUCGGCAAUGGGGCAACCCUGACCGAGCAACGCCGCGUGAGUGAAGAAGGUUUUCGGAUCGUAAAGCUCUGUUGUAAGUCAAGAACGGGUGUGAGAGUGGAAAGUUCACACUGUGACGGUAGCUUACCAGAAAGGGACGGCUAACUACGUG
This 496-nucleotide ribosomal RNA is filed under the name uncultured bacterium. RNAcentral's name for it is "partial 16S ribosomal RNA". It matches the Rfam family "Bacterial small subunit ribosomal RNA", at positions 28 to 507 of the family's 1533-position model. The record is from RNAcentral.